Prosopis cineraria is the source of this 607-nucleotide long non-coding RNA. RefSeq lists it as uncharacterized. The record is from RefSeq and is a predicted model, not a curated record. The transcript has 3 exons. NCBI's taxonomy places the organism in Eukaryota, Viridiplantae, Streptophyta, Magnoliopsida, Fabales, Fabaceae.
GGACAAUGAAAUAUGAUGGGAUUCAGUGUAUUCGUGUUCAUGAUAUCCAAGAGGCAGUGUAUGAAUUGAUAGCAAAUGAUGAAUUGGCAUGCUACAUGGAAUUCGAUGAGUAUGACUUUGUCCAAGACAUCAAUGACCCCAUGGAGACAUGGUGUAUUGUCAUUAGGGUCUUGAGAAAAUGGCAUAUAAACCAGAAAAAAACCCCCUUACCAUGUCUGGAACAUUUCAUUCUUGCUCAUUGAUGAGAAGGGUUCUCAAAUUCAAGCUUUCAUUCAAAGCAAAAAUCUACUCCAACAACUUGAAGAACAAUCAGCCGAGGGAAGAGUUUACUUCAUUGAGAACUUUGAAGUUCUCCCUAAUACUGACAACACCAAGGCAUGCUGUCAUCCUUGGAAAAUCAAUUUUCAUGCAAAUACAUUUGUCAAGGAACAACAGGCGAAUGCACCUUCAAAUGUAUUCAACUUUGUAUCAAUCAAGGAGGUUAUAAGUAGAGCAGAUUUUGAACAAUAGGUCACGAAUUUUAAUCAUUUGAUUGAUAUGUCAUGAUUUAAUUUAUUUUCUUUAAAAAUGAUACUUUUUCUUACCACAAUGUAAUAUGAUAAUUUCA